UACGUAGGUCCCGAGCGUUGUCCGGAUUUAUUGGGCGUAAAGCGAGCGCAGGUGGUUUAUUAGGUCUGGUGUAAAAGGCAGUGGCUCAACCAUUGUAUGCAUUGGAAACUGGUAGACUUGAGUGCAGGAGAGGAGAGUGGAAUUCCAUGUGUAGCGGUGAAAUGCGUAGAUAUAUGGAGGAACACCGGUGGCGAAAGCGUCUCUCUGGCCUGUAACUGACACUGAGGCUCGAAAGCGUGGGGAGCAAACAGG
RNAcentral lists this ribosomal RNA (252 nucleotides) under uncultured bacterium. RNAcentral describes it as "partial 16S ribosomal RNA". It matches the Rfam family "Bacterial small subunit ribosomal RNA", at positions 524 to 776 of the family's 1533-position model. The record is from RNAcentral.